AACUUCGGGAGAAGGGGGGCCAUCACCGGUGAUAGCACUUGCUGCUUGAGCUGGGGGUGGCCGCAGAGACCAGCGAGAAGCGACUGUUUACUAAAAACACAGGUCCGUGCGAAGCCGUAAGGCGAUGUAUACGGACUGACGCCUGCCCGGUGCUGGAACGUUAAGGGGACCGGUUAGUCACUCUUCGGGGUGGCGAAGCUGAGAACUUAAGCGCCAGUAAACGGCGGUGGUAACUAUAACCAUCCUAAGGUAGCGAAAUUCCUUGUCGGGUAAGUUCCGACCUGCACGAAUGGCGUAACGACUUCUCGACUGUCUCAACCAUAGGCCCGGUGAAAUUGCACUACGAGUAAAGAUGCUCGUUUCGCGCAGCAGGACGGAAAGACCCCGGGACCUUUACUACAGUUUGAUAUUGGUGUUCGGUUCGGCUUGUGUAGGAUAGCUGGGAGACUGUGAAGCUCGGACGCCAGUUCGGGUGGAGUCGUCGUUGAAAUACCAGUCUGGUCGUGCUGGAUGUCUAACCUGGGUCCGUGAUCCGGAUCAGGGACAGUGUCUGAUGGGUAGUUUAACUGGGGCGGUUGCCUCCCAAAGGGUAACGGAGGCGCCCAAAGGUUCCCUCAGCCUGGUUGGCAAUCAGGUGGUGAGUGUAAGUGCACAAGGGAGCUUGACUGUGAGACCGACGGGUCGAGCAGGGACGAAAGUCGGGACUAGUGAUCCGGCGGUGGCUUGUGGAAGCGCCGUCGCUCAACGGAUAAAAGGUACCCCGGGGAUAACAGGCUGAUCUUCCCCAAGAGUCCAUAUCGACGGGAUGGUUUGGCACCUCGAUGUCGGCUCGUCGCAUCCUGGGGCUGGAGUCGGUCCCAAGGGUUGGGCUGUUCGCCCAUUAAAGCGGUACGCGAGCUGGGUUUAGAACGUCGUGAGACAGUUCGGUCCCUAUCCGCUGCGCGCGCAGGAAUAUUGAGAAGGGCUGUCCCUAGUACGAGAGGACCGGGACGGACGAACCUCUGGUGUGCCAGUUGUUCUGCCAAGGGCAUGGCUGGUUGGCUACGUUCGGGAGGGAUAACCGCUGAAAGCAUCUAAGCGGGAAGCCUGCUUCGAGAUGAGUAUUCCCACCCACUUGAUGGGGUAAGGCUCCCAGUAGACGACUGGGUUGAUAGGCCAGAUAUGGAAGCCCAGUAAUGGGUGGAGUUGACUGGUACUAAUAGGCCGAGGGCUUGUCCUC
This 1219-nucleotide ribosomal RNA is filed under the name Streptomyces scabiei. RNAcentral describes it as "bacterial LSU rRNA". It matches the Rfam family "Bacterial large subunit ribosomal RNA", at positions 1732 to 2925 of the family's 2925-position model. Lineage: Bacteria; Bacillati; Actinomycetota; Actinomycetes; Kitasatosporales; Streptomycetaceae. The record is from RNAcentral.